UACGGAGGAUCCAAGCGUUAUCCGGAAUCAUUGGGUUUAAAGGGUCCGUAGGCGGUUUUGUAAGUCAGUGGUGAAAGCCCAUCGCUCAACGGUGGAACGGCCAUUGAUACUGCAAGACUUGAAUUAUUAGGAAGUAACUAGAAUAUGUAGUGUAGCGGUGAAAUGCUUAGAGAUUACAUGGAAUACCAAUUGCGAAGGCAGGUUGCUACUAAUGGAUUGACGCUGAUGGACGAAAGCGUGGGGAGCGAACAGG
RNAcentral lists this ribosomal RNA (253 nucleotides) under uncultured bacterium. RNAcentral describes it as "partial 16S ribosomal RNA". It matches the Rfam family "Bacterial small subunit ribosomal RNA", at positions 524 to 776 of the family's 1533-position model. The record is from RNAcentral.